RNAcentral lists this microRNA precursor (145 nucleotides) under Gossypium barbadense (sea-island cotton). RNAcentral describes it as "MIR7502 microRNA precursor family". It matches the Rfam family "MIR7502 microRNA precursor family". RNAcentral also lists the same sequence under 2 other names. The record is from Rfam by way of RNAcentral. Lineage: Eukaryota; Viridiplantae; Streptophyta; Magnoliopsida; Malvales; Malvaceae.
UAUGAAAAAUUUCAUUCAUUUUUACUAUUGAAAACUAGUGUUUCUAACAUAAUAGUUAAAUAGUUAUACAUAGUGAGCCACGUGUACUUUAUUUUGAUAUGUAUGAACAUAUUUUUAACAAUAGAAAUUGAUGAAAUUUUUAAUA